This 465-nucleotide ribosomal RNA is filed under the name uncultured bacterium. Its description in RNAcentral is "partial 16S ribosomal RNA". It matches the Rfam family "Bacterial small subunit ribosomal RNA", at positions 338 to 795 of the family's 1533-position model. The record is from RNAcentral.
CCUACGGGAGGCAGCAGUAGGGAAUCUUCCACAAUGGGCGCAAGCCUGAUGGAGCAACACCGCGUGAGUGAAGAAGGGUUUCGGCUCGUAAAGCUCUGUUAUUGGGGAAGAACGUGCGUGAGAGUAACUGUUCACGCAGUGACGAUAUCCAGCCAGAAGGUCACGGCUCACUACGUGCCAACAGCCUCGGUAGUACGUAGGUGGCAAGCGUUAUCCGGAUUUAUUGGGCGUAAAGCGAGCGCAGGCGGUUGCUUAGGUCUGAUGUGAAAGCCUUCGGCUUAACCGAAGAAGUGCAUGGGAAACCGGGCGACUUGAGUGCAGAAGAGGACAGGGGAACUCCAGGUGUAGCGGUGGAAUGCGUAGAUAUAUGGAAGAACACCAGUGGCGAAGGCGGCUGUCUGGUCUGCAACUGACGUUGAGGCUCGAAAGCAUGGGUAGCGAACAGGAUUAGAUACCCCUGUAGUC